CGUCUUCGCCUAUCAGCCCAGGGGCUGCGCAGCCACAAGUCCCAGACACCUCGGCCACGGGAAUAAAUAAGGAAAUAAACAAACCCAGCGCUCUCUGGGGGAAAUGGGGGCGGCGAACAUCAGGCACAAAUAGAGCCAAGAUCGAUUUCCUUAGGGAGGGGGAGGGGGCUCUUGGCAAAGGGAGGUGGGAGCCCCCGUCGCCCCCGUCGCCCCCGAUUGGGAAGAAAUCAGAUUGUUUAGGGUGGAACGGGGUCCCUUGGAGGAGGCACGAGAGUCCUUUUAUUCUUUAAAAAUUAUUUUUUUCCGAGGAGGAGCUCUCGGCAAACGAAUAUCGAGGCGCCGCUCGAGCUGGUUCAGUUGGGGACGCGAUAACUCAGCGCCGGCUUGCAGACCCGCGUAGAAGAUUCGCAGUUUUGGGGGGCUCACCGAUGGCCGUAACGUCUAAGCGCCCCGUGGCGGAUGCGCUCCAGCUUUUGCGCGCGGCUGGAAACGCGCUGGGUGCGGUUGCGAAACGUACAGCGUAGACGUCCCCAGAAGAGCUCGAGGCCUGUCCCGGAGUGAGCAAGCGAGCGCCCGGCCUUCCGCAAGGGUAAGCUCCCCGCCAAGGGGCCGAGACGGAAGCAGACGUCGGAAUCUGGCCUCGCACCCCAGCUUCGGGGUUCCAUGCCGGGUUUCGCUCGCGCCUAACCCUCAGGGCUUUCCGAAGCAGGGCCUGGCUCCAGGCCCGGGCCGUCUGGGGCCGGAGCGGCCGCGAAAAGCCAGGAACGCAGCCGACCGAGCAGCCCCAGGAGCCAAGGUCAGGCCCGCGGGGAGAACGGGCAGCGGUUUCCAGCGCAGGACACGGGCGCCCGGGGCCAGCCGGGCCGCAGACUCUGCUGCUUCCAGCAAGCAGGACCCGCGUCGCUCCGUCCGGCUAGGCCGCACUGACCGACCCCAAAUUCUCUUCCGUUUCCCAAGUUAUUAACAAUUAUCUUUUCCUCCAUCUGAGGUCCGUUGGGUGCAGCGUGUGCUUCCAGACGCCGAAAGUGCAAGCCGAAAUCCUUCGCCGGGGAUGGGUUCCCGCUUGACCUCGGGGCCGAGGUGGGCCGGAAGCGGAGGCCUGGGCCCCGCCGGCGCUGGAAGGGGAAGGCGAAACUCCGAGCGGGGCCAGUUCCUUUCCGUUCGGCUCCCUCGUCUCGCAUCCCUGGCGCGGACCCCGCCACCCCCCGGACCAGCUCGCAGAGGAUUCCGAAGCCUCAGCGUCCCUGGCCCUCUGUUCCAAACGCUCCAGAGUCGGACCACGGGCCGAAUUGGAUAAAUUAGAGACCUCAGCCUGUGCUGAGCCUUGCCAUUCCUUCCCCCAGUCACUGGGCAGUGAGUUCCAAAGCGAGGCGGCAACGUGCAGCCUUCGCUCCUUCUUCGGGAGGAUCCCCGCUUUCCGCGACCUGCUCCCAACUGGGUUUGCCCCCCAAAAUGUAUUUUCCUCAUUUUGCAAAAUUCCGGCCCCGAUUUUAAUAUCACUGUGGGUAGAAGACUAGAGGUUCCCACUUAAAAAGUCCAAAACAAAACCAGGCGAAAGCAAGAGGAAACCACUGUUGGAUCUUCCCUCCUGCCUCUGUUUUUAACAGAAUCGAGUCCCAAACCACCUUCUUUCUUUCCUCCCCAAAAAGAAGUGGCUUAAAAAGACACCCUCUUCUCCGUUUCUUUUCCAUUGCGUCCUGCCUGACUCGGGUCUCUCCUGGAGGCAUCAAGUAAGAAGAGCAGAAGGGCCUGGGAAAAUGAGUAAGAAUUUUAACAACAGAUACGACCCAAGGAAACUUGGACCAACUCCUUUUGCAAUAGAGGGAGUCAGACUAAGGGAGAGAAAUUUCCUCGUUUCUCAGGGGGUCACUUCCCCUCCUGCCUAGUUAAAUCUGGCCCUGUUAUAUAUAUAUAUAUAUAUAUUUUUUUUUUUCCAGGACCAUGGUAUCUCCCUUCCCAAUGUUUGAUUCUGUUCCUAGCUUCUUCCCUUCGGACCGGAAGCAUCUGGGAAGAAUACUGGCUAUUGCUAUUAUUUUAAUAUCCCAUAUUCUCCUCCAAUAUUUUCACCAGGGUUUAUUAUUGCUACUAUUUUUGUUCAUGUUGGUGUUCUUCCCUGUGCUUUGGGAAAAUUCCUCCCCGUUCCCCCAAGUUUGUCGCGUGAGGUACCCGCCGCCCCAAUCAGGGUAAUAAAAUGAGAAAAGGAAGCAGGAGCAUCAUUCUAGAGGCAUGGCUGAGAUCGCAAGGCUAGAGAUUUGCAAUCUCCCGGAAGAGCAGAGAAAGUGGUAAAAAGCAAGGCAGCAUCUCUGUUCUUGCCCCCUCCAAUUUAGGGAGUCCUCCGUGGAGGAGAAGGGUCUUGAACUGAGAAACUGAGCUGCCUCCUACCCCAUGGGUUUCACUGAGCAUUAAUGCUCCAACCGUGUCUGCAGCCCAGGACCUUCAGAAAGGCCUCCCGUGUAGUCCGCCUGUCCCCGCAGCCCCCCAAAAUGUGGGGGAAAAUAUGCUGAAUUCCCGGGCUCUGACCCAAUACGAUAGAGACCCAGGCUGAUACCUCCAGGUCUGGCGGGGACCCUGUCUGGGUACCUCCUCCUUCAACUGGAGGGUGCAGUGGAAAUUUGGGAACCCACUGCUCUCCGGGGCUCUGGAAAGACAAAUUUUCUUUGGCAAAGGGAACGGUGUCGCGCUGUCGACACGGCAGACUAUUUUUCUUGUUUCCUCGCAAGGGCGGAGGAGGGGGGGUAGAAAAGAAAGCGAGAAAGAAAGGGAAAUUAAAUCCACACGUGUUAAGCUUGCUCAAAGGGCCGGAUUCAAAACCAGAGACGAAACCGCGACUCCAGUUCUGGCUGCCCGUGGGCCUCCUUCCAGCCAGCCUGGGCCUCACAGAGCAAGACGUCCACACCGGAGAGAGCCCGAUCUGAUGUUUCAUAAAGAGAUUUCUUUAAGGGGCAAGGGACAUGGUUCCUGUCUGUGCUGCAGGGAGUCCGAAAGCAGACUGUUUGCAGCAAAGCAAACAAAGAUGGGAGUGGUGACCAUCCCCCGCCCCAAACUUCAAGAAAGUCCAGCUUGAUACCUCCUAGUCAAGCCAAUGAAUCAGGUAGCAUUAACUUUAUAACCCAAAUGAGCCAGGCCAGUGAUUCUGGAAUUCCUAAGGUCUGACCAACCUCUGGGACUUGGAACUGCCUGGGUCAAGAGAACCUAAAAAGUCCCGCUUCGGAGGCUGGAACAGCCAGUUUAAUCUGCACGGCUCCUUCCGCAUCCGUCGCUGCUUCUCUCCCUCCUAGAGAAACUUGCUAGGACGGCUCCAGGCCCCAGCCACGGGAGGAGCCCUGCACGGGUGCCGGAGAAGUGGCGGUAGAGGAAGCAACGGCCUCCCCACCCGGAGCUGCGAGUGAAAACUGUAGUAAUGACCUUGAGGAGGUGAAGGGACGCGUGUGGGGGUGCGGGUGAGGAAGGCAGUCAGACCCCAAGCUGGAAAGAUCCGUCACCAAAACGA
Molecule: long non-coding RNA, 3490 nt
Organism: Mustela erminea (ermine)
Lineage: Eukaryota; Metazoa; Chordata; Mammalia; Carnivora; Mustelidae
Exons: 2
Source: RefSeq, a predicted model, not a curated record